GAUUUACUGGGCGUAAAGGGCGCGUAGGCGGCCACUACAAGUCACUUGUGAAAUCUCCGGGCUUAACUCGGUAGAGGCCAAGUGAUACUGUUGGGCUAGAGUGCGGAAGGGGCAACUGGAAUUCUCGGUGUAGCGGUGAAAUGCGUAGAUAUCGAGAGGAACACCUGCGGCGAAGGCGGGUUGCUGGGCCGACACUGACGCUGAGGCGCGAAAGCUAGGGGAGCGAACGGGAUUAGAUACCCCGGUAGUCCUAGCCUUAAACGAUGGAUGCUUGGUGUCUGGGGUAAUAAAGUCCCCGGGUGCCGUCGCUAACGCUUUUAGCAUCCCGCCUGGGGAGUACGGUCGCAAGACUAAAACUCAAAGGAAUCGACGGGGACCCGCACAAGCGGUGGAGCAUGUGGUUUAAUUCGACGCAACGCGAAGAACCUUACCUGGGCUAGAAUGCCUCCGACAGCCCCAGAGAUGGGGACUCCUAUGGAAACAUAGGCGGAGUGCAGGGUGCUGCAUGGCU
RNAcentral lists this ribosomal RNA (511 nucleotides) under uncultured Acidobacteriota bacterium. Its description in RNAcentral is "bacterial SSU rRNA". It matches the Rfam family "Bacterial small subunit ribosomal RNA", at positions 548 to 1050 of the family's 1533-position model. Lineage: Bacteria; Pseudomonadati; Acidobacteriota. The record is from RNAcentral.